This 460-nucleotide long non-coding RNA is filed under the name Rattus norvegicus (Norway rat). Its description in RNAcentral is "long non-coding RNA NONRATT016679". Lineage: Eukaryota; Metazoa; Chordata; Mammalia; Rodentia; Muridae. The record is from RNAcentral.
AACUUUUUUUUUUUUUUAACAUUUUACAAACAGCUAAAAACUACAACACGUCACAGCUACGGUGGGAGUGGGAAGAGUACCAAAGAAAGCAGCCACAAGAGUAGGGUAGGACGGGGGGCAGCUCUACCUACAGAGGCUGUUCUGUGGAAGGGCAAGAUGGGGAAACUGAGGCUUCAGGUCCCUGCAUUAGGGGUCCCUCACGACCCAGCCUUUUUGAGAAGGGUUAGGGGAUGGACCCCUGCUUCCUGCCCCUGCCCCAGCUUCUUGUGCUUUCAGACCUGCUGGUUUGACCAUGUGUGCCUGGUUAUUUUCCCUUUCUUUCCUCUGAUACACUGCCUGUGUGGACAGGGAAUGAUGGGAAAGGCAGAAAUUCUGGAACACCUGGAGCAGAGAAACAGUCGUCCCCACCCCUGCUAACACUGAGGGAGAGAAGGAUGCAGCUCAGCCUUCUCCUUGUGCA